This 496-nucleotide ribosomal RNA is filed under the name uncultured bacterium. RNAcentral describes it as "partial 16S ribosomal RNA". It matches the Rfam family "Bacterial small subunit ribosomal RNA", at positions 28 to 506 of the family's 1533-position model. The record is from RNAcentral.
GACGAACGCUGGCGGCGUGCCUAAUACAUGCAAGUAGAACGCUGAAGAGAGGAGCUUGCUCUUCUUGGAUGAGUUGCGAACGGGUGAGUAACGCGUAGGUAACCUGCCUGGUAGCGGGGGAUAACUAUUGGAAACGAUAGCUAAUACCGCAUAAAAUUGAUUAUUGCAUGAUAAUUAAUUGAAAGAUGCAACUGCAUCACUACCAGAUGGACCUGCGUUGUAUUAGCUAGUUGGUGAGGUAACGGCUCACCAAGGCGACGAUACAUAGCCGACCUGAGAGGGGGAUCGGCCACACUGGGACUGAGACACGGCCCAGACUCCUACGGGAGGCAGCAGUAGGGAAUCUUCGGCAAUGGGGGGAACCCUGACCGAGCAACGCCGCGUGAGUGAAGAAGGUUUUCGGAUCGUAAAGCUCUGUUGUAAGAGAAGAACGGGUGUGAGAGUGGAAAGUUCACGCUGUGACGGUAUCUUACCAGAAAGGGACGGCUAACUACGU